Molecule: ribosomal RNA, 459 nt
Filed under: uncultured bacterium
Lineage: Bacteria
Description: partial 16S ribosomal RNA
Rfam family: Bacterial small subunit ribosomal RNA
Source: RNAcentral
CCUACGGGAUGCAGCAGUGAGGAAUAUUGGUCAAUGGUCGGGAGACUGAACCAGCCAAGUCGCGUGAGGGAUGAAGGUACAGAGUAUCGUAAACCUCUUUUGUCAGGGAACAAAGGCGGGGACGCGUCCCCGGAUGAGUGUACCUGAAGAAAAAGCAUCGGCUAACUCCGUGCCAGCAGCCGCGGUAAUACGGAGGAUGCGAGCGUUAUCCGGAUUUAUUGGGUUUAAAGGGUGCGCAGGCGGUCUUUUAAGUCAGCGGUAAAAGCCCGGGGCUCAACCCCGGCCCGCCGUUGAAACUGGCAGUCUCGAGUUGGAGAGAAGUAUGCGGAAUGCGCGGUGUAGCGGUGAAAUGCAUAGAUAUCGCGCAGAACUCCGAUUGCGAAGGCAGCAUGCCGGCUCCACACUGACGCUGAGGCACGAAAGCGUGGGUAUCGAACAGGAUUAGAUACCCUAGUAGUC